Molecule: ribosomal RNA, 791 nt
Filed under: uncultured bacterium
Lineage: Bacteria
Description: bacterial SSU rRNA
Rfam family: Bacterial small subunit ribosomal RNA
Source: RNAcentral
AGAGUUUGAUCAUGGCUCAGAUUGAACGCUGGCGGCAGGCCUAACACAUGCAAGUCGAGCGGUAGAGAGAAGCUUGCUUCUCUUGAGAGCGGCGGACGGGUGAGUAAUGCCUAGGAAUCUGCCUGGUAGUGGGGGAUAACGCUCGGAAACGGACGCUAAUACCGCAUACGUCCUACGGGAGAAAGCAGGGGACCUUCGGGCCUUGCGCUAUCAGAUGAGCCUAGGUCGGAUUAGCUAGUUGGUGAGGUAAUGGCUCACCAAGGCGACGAUCCGUAACUGGUCUGAGAGGAUGAUCAGUCACACUGGAACUGAGACACGGUCCAGACUCCUACGGGAGGCAGCAGUGGGGAAUAUUGGACAAUGGGCGAAAGCCUGAUCCAGCCAUGCCGCGUGUGUGAAGAAGGUCUUCGGAUUGUAAAGCACUUUAAGUUGGGAGGAAGGGCAGUUACCUAAUACGUAUCUGUUUUGACGUUACCGACAGAAUAAGCACCGGCUAACUCUGUGCCAGCAGCCGCGGUAAUACAGAGGGUGCAAGCGUUAAUCGGAAUUACUGGGCGUAAAGCGCGCGUAGGUGGUUUGUUAAGUUGGAUGUGAAAUCCCCGGGCUCAACCUGGGAACUGCAUUCAAAACUGACAAGCUAGAGUAUGGUAGAGGGUGGUGGAAUUUCCUGUAGCGGUGAAAUGCGUAGAUAUAGGAAGGAACACCAGUGGCGAAGGCGACCACCUGGACUGAUACUGACACUGAGGUGCGAAAGCGUGGGGAGCAAACAGGAUUAGAUACCCUAGUAGUCC